RNAcentral lists this ribosomal RNA (459 nucleotides) under uncultured bacterium. RNAcentral describes it as "partial 16S ribosomal RNA". It matches the Rfam family "Bacterial small subunit ribosomal RNA", at positions 338 to 795 of the family's 1533-position model. The record is from RNAcentral.
CCUACGGGAGGCAGCAGUGAGGAAUAUUGGUCAAUGGCCGGAAGGCUGAACCAGCCAAGCCGCGUGAAGGACGAAGGUGCCAAGCAUUGUAAACUUCUUUUGUCAAGGGACAAAAUCAGGCUCGAGAGCCUGACCGAGGGUACUUGAAGAAAAAGCAUCGGCUAACUCCGUGCCAGCAGCCGCGGUAAUACGGAGGAUGCGAGCGUUAUCCGGAUUUAUUGGGUUUAAAGGGUGCGUAGGCGGACUGUUAAGUCAGCGGUAAAAGCCCGGGGCUCAACCCCGGCCAGCCGUUGAAACUGGCGGUCUUGAGAUGUCGAGAGGUAUGCGGAAUGCGUAGUGUAGCGGUGAAAUGCGUAGAUAUUGCGCAGAACCCCGAUUGCGAAGGCAGCAUACCGGCGGCGAUCUGACGCUGAGGCACGAAAGCGUGGGUAUCGAACAGGAUUAGAUACCCGGGUAGUC